Molecule: ribosomal RNA, 497 nt
Filed under: uncultured bacterium
Lineage: Bacteria
Description: partial 16S ribosomal RNA
Rfam family: Bacterial small subunit ribosomal RNA
Source: RNAcentral
GAUGAACGCUGGCGGCGUGCCUAAUACAUGCAAGUCGAGCGAACAGACGAUGAGCUUGCUCCUCUGACGUUAGCGGCGGACGGGUGAGUAACACGUGGAUAACCUACCUAUAAGACUGGGAUAACUUCGGGAAACCGGAGCUAAUACCGGAUAAUAUAUUGAACCGCAUGGUUCAAUAGUGAAAGACGGUUUUGCUGUCACUUAUAGAUGGAUCCGCGCCGCAUUAGCUAGUUGGUAAGGUAACGGCUUACCAAGGCAACGAUGCGUAGCCGACCUGAGAGGGUGAUAGGCCACACUGGAACUGAGACACGGUCCAGACUCCUACGGGAGGCAGCAGUAGGGAAUCUUCCGCAAAGGGCGAAAGCCUGACGGAGCAACGCCGCGUGAGUGAUGAAGGUCUUCGGAUCGUAAAACUCUGUUAUUAGGGAAGAACAAAUGUGUAAGUAACUAUGCACGUCUUGACGGUACCUAAUCAGAAAGCCACGGCUAACUACGUG